This 122-nucleotide non-coding RNA is filed under the name Aeribacillus pallidus. Its description in RNAcentral is "SAM-I sequence". It matches the Rfam family "SAM riboswitch aptamer (S box leader)". From Rfam's summary of the family: The SAM riboswitch is found upstream of a number of genes which code for proteins involved in methionine or cysteine biosynthesis in Gram-positive bacteria. Lineage: Bacteria; Bacillati; Bacillota; Bacilli; Caryophanales; Bacillaceae. The record is from Rfam by way of RNAcentral.
UUCUUAUCAAGAGAAGCGGAGGGACUGGCCCGAUGAACCUUCAGCAACCGGAUUACCCAAAAACUUUGGGUACCAAGGUGCUAAAUCCAGCGAUGCGUAAAUUUGCGCUCGGAAGAUAAGAA